RNAcentral lists this ribosomal RNA (429 nucleotides) under Clostridioides difficile. RNAcentral describes it as "bacterial LSU rRNA". It matches the Rfam family "Bacterial large subunit ribosomal RNA", at positions 1189 to 1621 of the family's 2925-position model. Lineage: Bacteria; Bacillati; Bacillota; Clostridia; Peptostreptococcales; Peptostreptococcaceae. The record is from RNAcentral.
UACUACCGAAGCUACGGCAUCAGUAAUGAUGGGUAGGGGAGCUUCCCAUACGGGUUGAAGCAUGACCGUAAGGACAUGUGGACAGUAUGGGAGUGCGUAUGUUAGCAUGAGCAGCGAGAUGGUGGUGAGAAUCCCACAGGCCGUAAACCCAAGGUUUCCAGGGGAAGGGUCGUCCGCGCUGGGUUAGUCCGGCCCAAAGCUGCGACCGAAAGGCGUAGGUGAUGGACAACAGGUUGAUAUUCAUGUACUACCGAGAACCGUUUGAGAGAUGGGAUGACACAGUAGGAGAAGCUAAGCAGACUGUGGGGUAGGUGUGCCCAAGCAGUUAGGCAGUCGCAGAAGGCAAAACGGCGUUGAUAAUGCUGGGAUGUGAUGGGGAGCGAAAUUUAGUAGCGAAGUAGCUGAUUUCACACUGUCAAGAAAAGUCUC